This is a long non-coding RNA of Hordeum vulgare subsp. vulgare (domesticated barley), 1330 nucleotides long. RefSeq lists it as uncharacterized. The record is from RefSeq and is a predicted model, not a curated record. Lineage: Eukaryota; Viridiplantae; Streptophyta; Magnoliopsida; Poales; Poaceae. The transcript has 6 exons.
AGUGCCCUCCUGGUGUGAGACCAACACUAGCAGAUGAGGAGCUGACAUACCUGCACAAGCUUGCACGUCCUUUGCCAACACAUUUUGCUCUAGGAUGAUUAAGUAUUUACUGCUUCCGGCAACCUUACCUUCUUAUGCAUACAUCACCUUAAUGUUCCACACAAAAUAAUGUAGAAGCACAAGAAAACCGGUUCUUCAGAUUCCUAGGUCCUUUGCAAUUUCUUUGCUAGAAAAAAUACGGCAGCUAGGAGACAUUGCCAUUAUGCAUACACCUCCAUCAAACUGAACCUGAGCAACGGGUUUUAGCGGCUAAUCUUCUGCUUCAAUUGGAUAUACUGGAACAACAGAUAAAAUCAAAAAUUGGGCCAAGAGCUGCUGUUGUUGUGAGCGCGCGACAGAAAAGGAACGACGCCAUAGUUGAACUAAGAGAAAAACAGGGCAAAAAAUUGGUGAACGACGCCAUAGUUAUAAAAUAAAGAAUGCAUUCACCUAACCCUUUAAAACAUUUUUAAAAAGAGGCUGCAUGAUAUGAACAAAGGAAUUUGGACACAUUCAUGAAGGUAUACUGGUAUGAUUAUUAAUUUUAUGUUAAAUUUUCUCCAGGUACUUGUACAGUCAAGCAAGACUGAAGUUCUAAUUGGAAUUCUACAAAAGGAGGCCUCUCAGCCUCGAGCAGAUUAGAAUUUGCAUGUUAAACUGACUGAUGGCCAUCAUGGCAUUGUUUUGUUCAUGUGUAUCUAGAGAGAGAUGAUUGUGGUAGUACUAUAGCUCACUUUAUGUGUGGUAGAGUCGCUACAUGUCGAGUGGAGUUUAUGCAGGGGAUCAUUUGCAGCUGAGCACCUCAUGUUAAAAGGAGAUGCUACAGCGGUGUGCCUCUUCCCUGGGCGCCACUCUCCCGCUGCUCCUCCGACCCAAAUGCCGAUAAAAUGGAGCUCGCCAAGGCACACUUCAUGGACAAGGAGGACCACCCACGACGAUGAACAUGUGUGACCUCACCCCCGAGCCUGAUGAGCUCGACAACGACAACAUCGUCAACCUUGAUCUCGAUGACAAGGUUGAUCCCUAGCUUAGUGCCGACACCAAAGAGCAAGCCCGCCUUCUCCAGAGUUUGCAAAGGAGCUUUAUGUUUAGGGCAUGGUUGUUUGCAGAGAGGGGCAGACACUACUUCGAUCCUUUGACAGAUAGUUCUUCAUAAUGUGAUAGUGUAUAGGCCUUCUUUCUGGGGACCUACUGCUCAACUACUCCACUCCUUGGCUUCUACCGACCAAAAAUUUUACAAAUCUGUCUACAUGUUUUGUUUCUAUAUAUUUACAAAUAUCCUAUUAAUUCA